CUGUCCCUGUCUACUAUCCAGCG
RNAcentral lists this non-coding RNA (23 nucleotides) under Arabidopsis thaliana (thale cress). The record is from RNAcentral. Lineage: Eukaryota; Viridiplantae; Streptophyta; Magnoliopsida; Brassicales; Brassicaceae.